Molecule: microRNA precursor, 85 nt
Filed under: Mus pahari (shrew mouse)
Lineage: Eukaryota; Metazoa; Chordata; Mammalia; Rodentia; Muridae
Description: miRNA (MGP_PahariEiJ_G0007466.1)
Source: RNAcentral
UGUAUGUAUAUAUGUAUACACACUAUAUAAUAUAUACAUGUAUAUAGAGAGAUCUCUUUCACAUAUUAACAUAUUCAUAUAUAUG